RNA transcript from Bombyx mori (domestic silkworm), 2848 nucleotides. It is a transcript of the gene named gastrula zinc finger protein XlCGF7.1, with no coding region annotated. The transcript is spliced from 8 exons. The record is from RefSeq and is a predicted model, not a curated record. Lineage: Eukaryota; Metazoa; Arthropoda; Insecta; Lepidoptera; Bombycidae.
AAAAAAACCGUUUGUUAUUGUUUACCAAUUGUUUACUAAAUGAAUUCACAACACAACUCACAAGCUUUUUCUGCGAGUAAAAUAAUCACAUCAGUUAGCUAACAUAUGUAGUAGAUGUAAUAAAUUCUAAACCGCUCUAUUCAAAGUAUUCAAUUUAAUGACUCAAUUAAUACUAAUAUGGAUGCCACUUGUAGACUGUGUUUGUCCGUUAAGAAUGAAAAUACGACGAUUAUUCAUAAGAAACAUGAUGUUUUAAUGAAAAUAUCAAAAUGCUUCUCACUAAAGAUUACCUUAAACAAAUCACUUCCGAAUAGAGCCUGCUUUUCGUGCAUCAAAAAAAUAAAUGAAAUUCACAAUUUUUACACAAAAGUUAUUGAAAAUGAAAAGAAACUCCUUUACCAUAACAGUAGGGAUCAACUUAGUAAUUCAGUUCAAACAGCAAAUGAAAUGCAAGAUGUAAAUAUUGAAUACCGUAAUGAAAAUAUUUUUUGUGAAACUGAGAGCAAUGAUAAUACUGAGAUGCAGUUAAAGCAAGAAAACUUGUUAUCUACAACAAUUUAUCCAAACUCUUUUCAAAUUACAAAGAAAGAUUUCGAUUUUCAUUGUUCAUUGUGCCUUAAAAGUUUUCAAAGACCAUCUCUGUUAUUGGAACACAGGGUGCACUGUAUUGAUGAGAAAUCAAAUAUCGAAUUAGAUAUUGAUAAGUAUGACCAAUCUACAAAUAAACAACUUGUAGAUAAUAAAGCAGAGAAAGAAAAUGCCACCAAAAUUCUGAAAGAAAAAUAUGAAACUAAAAUGACAAAUUCGAAUUUAGAUAACAGUAAAUGUGAUGAAAAGUAUUCUAUAGUCAGUAGCGGAGAUCAAUUUAAGUUUAAAUGUAAUUUAUGUGAGAAAUCUUUCAAUACAAAAAAAGCAGUUGUCAGACAUAUUGUUAGUCAUACAAAUGAAAGACCGUUUGUCUGUAAUAUAUGUGGUAGAACAUAUAAAACUUCUGGGGAAAUAUUAAGACACAAACGAAUACACAAAUCUGCUGAAUUAAUUUGUUCAUAUGAAUGCGGAUAUAGAACAUCAUACAGAGGUGCACUUAAAACACACGAGAAGACUCAUCAACCCUCACAGUAUAACUAUAAAUGUGAAACCUGCGGAAAAGGUUUUCAAGUUUUAACAAUGUAUAAGCAACACCAGAACGUGCAUGAAGGGUUGAAGCCAUUCGUGUGUAGCAUGUGCGGGGUGGCUUUCCAUAUGGACAGGUAUUUAAAAGCACACCUGCAGAAUGUCCAUAACAAGUCCACAAAUGGCAAAUGUUUCAUAUGCAUACACUGCUGCUUACCACUGGACAGUCUUCUAGAACUGAAAAUGCACAAGAUUGAGAAACACGGCCUCAGAACAACCUGCCUUUGUGACGUGUGCGGGAAAGUCUUCAAGAACACAGAAAGGUUGAAGAACCAUAAAACGACCCAUUCGAAAUUGAAACCUUACACUUGUGGUGUCUGCAACAAAACGUUUGCUAAGAAGUUUCACUUGAAAGUACACGAGAACACGCACACAGGCGAACGGAAGCAUUCGUGUGGAGUUUGCGGACAGUCCUUCGUACAGAGAAGCUCUUUACUACGCCACAAUAAACGGUAAGAGAUAAUAUGGUUCUUAGUCUUUUAAUUUAUUUUGAAACAGAAAAAUGUUGUCUUCGCAGAUGGAUAAGACGCGCCGUGUAUUCUUCUCACAAUGCACUCUUAUUAGAAUACCUUAUACAAUUAAUAAUGAAAUACGUACAUAACAAUUAAUGUUCAUGAUUAACUUCCACAGUGAAGGACUAACAUCCUGUAAUAAAAAUCAAACCCGCAAAAUUUUUAUUUUGGUGGUAGGACGUCUUGUGAGUCUGCACGGGCAUGUACCACCGCCCUGCCUAUUUUUGCCGUGAAGCAGAAAUGCGUUUCGGUUUGAAGGGUGGGGCAGCCGUUGUGACUAUAUUGAAAGUUUAGAGCUCAUAUCUCAAGGUGGGUGGCGGCAUUUACGUUGUAGAUGUCUAUGGGCUUCAGUAACCAUUUAACACCAGGUGGGCUGUGAGCUCGUCCACCCAUCUAUGCAAUAUAAAAAAACAUACCAAUAGGUAUGUUUUUUUGCAAUAUGCAAUAACAAUACGCAAUAGCGUUAGUUAUAAAAUAUAUAAUAGUUGGUUGUCGUUGUAUUCCAUAUAUUGGCAUGUAUCGACACAAUUAUGACUAGACUUUGGCCGUUUUUCAAUUACAGCACAAGAGCGCAUUAUGCGGCAUAAUGCUCAACUAAGCUUCAGCAUAAUUCGGCAUUGUGCGUCACUGAGUCGCAUUAUGCUCUGUAAUUGGAAAACGGCCUUGAACUGCUGGGCACGAGUCCUUCAAAUGCUCGCCACAAUAACCGGAUUCUGGGUGGUCUGUAUCUAGCGAGUUCCUGAGACCUAUAAUAAAACAUGGUCCUGCCUUAAUGAAUUAUGUGUGUGAAACUAAUACGCCAGGCCAGUUGGAGCCGUAGCAGGCCAGCAAGAAAUUGAUGAGGAGAGCCGAAAGCCGAGCUCAAGGGCGUGAAUUGGGAGAGGCUUAUGUCCAGCUCUGGACAAUACUGUACGCUGAUGAGAAUGAGUUUUCUCACGCAGUGCCAGAAUUAAAUCUAGGUGGCAUCGUAUCUUCCCAUGAUCAAUGCGAAAGAUAAUAUGACCUAAUAUGUUGUACAUAUUUCUGACAGCAACGGUAAAUAUUGUGAAAUGUACUUAAUUGUUGUUUUACAGGCGCCACCAAGAUCUUAAGAGUGCAAAUGAAAAGUUGGAACAUAAUAUGUGAAGGAUUUUUACUUUUGCUAUUAAAUUUGUUGAAAACUA